AGAAUCAACGCUGGCGGCGUGCCUAACACAUGCAAGUCGCACGAGAAAGGGACUUCGGUCCUGAGUACAGUGGCGCACGGGUGAGUAACACGUGAAUCAUCUACCUCCGAGUGGGGAAUAACCUAGAGAAAUCUGGGCUAAUACCGCAUAACACUUACGAGUCAAAGCAGCAAUGCGCUUGGAGAGGAGUUCGCGGCAGAUUAGUUAGUUGGCGGGGUAAUGGCCCACCAAGACGAUGAUCUGUAUCCGGCCUGAGAGGGCGCACGGACACACUGGAACUGAAACACGGUCCAGACUCCUACGGGAGGCAGCAGUGGGGAAUUUUGCGCAAUGGGGGAAACCCUGACGCAGCAACGCCGCGUGGAGGAUGAAAUAUCUUGGUAUGUAAACUCCUUUCGAUGGGGAAGAUAAUGACGGUACCCAUAGAAGAAGCCCGGCUAACUUCGUGCCAGCAGCCGC
RNAcentral lists this ribosomal RNA (459 nucleotides) under uncultured bacterium. RNAcentral describes it as "SSU rRNA". It matches the Rfam family "Bacterial small subunit ribosomal RNA", at positions 26 to 518 of the family's 1533-position model. The record is from RNAcentral.